Molecule: ribosomal RNA, 233 nt
Filed under: uncultured bacterium
Lineage: Bacteria
Description: partial 16S ribosomal RNA
Rfam family: Bacterial small subunit ribosomal RNA
Source: RNAcentral
GAUCUGGCUCAGGACGAACGCUGGCGGCGCGCCUAACACAUGCAAGUCGAACGAGAGAUGAGGAGCUUGCUCUUCAAAUCGAGUGGCGAACGGGUGAGUAACGCGUGAGGAACCUGCCUCAAAGAGGGGGACAACAGUUGGAAACGACUGCUAAUACCGCAUAAGCCCACGGCUCGGCAUCGAGCAGAGGGAAAAGGAGCGAUCCGCUUUGAGAUGGCCUCGCGUCCGAUUAG